Molecule: ribosomal RNA, 638 nt
Filed under: Salmonella enterica subsp. enterica serovar Newport
Lineage: Bacteria; Pseudomonadati; Pseudomonadota; Gammaproteobacteria; Enterobacterales; Enterobacteriaceae
Description: partial 23S ribosomal RNA
Rfam family: Bacterial large subunit ribosomal RNA
Source: RNAcentral
ACCCUUUAAUGUUUGAUGUUCUAACGUGGACCCGUAAUCCGGGUUGCGGACAGUGUCUGGUGGGUAGUUUGACUGGGGCGGUCUCCUCCUAAAGAGUAACGGAGGAGCACGAAGGUUGGCUAAUCCUGGUCGGACAUCAGGAGGUUAGUGCAAUGGCAUAAGCCAGCUUGACUGCGAGCGUGACGGCGCGAGCAGGUGCGAAAGCAGGUCAUAGUGAUCCGGUGGUUCUGAAUGGAAGGGCCAUCGCUCAACGGAUAAAAGGUACUCCGGGGAUAACAGGCUGAUACCGCCCAAGAGUUCAUAUCGACGGCGGUGUUUGGCACCUCGAUGUCGGCUCAUCACAUCCUGGGGCUGAAGUAGGUCCCAAGGGUAUGGCUGUUCGCCAUUUAAAGUGGUACGCGAGCUGGGUUUAGAACGUCGUGAGACAGUUCGGUCCCUAUCUGCCGUGGGCGCUGGAGAACUGAGGGGGGCUGCUCCUAGUACGAGAGGACCGGAGUGGACGCAUCACUGGUGUUCGGGUUGUCAUGCCAAUGGCACUGCCCGGUAGCUAAAUGCGGAAGAGAUAAGUGCUGAAAGCAUCUAAGCACGAAACUUGCCCCGAGAUGAGUUCUCCCUGAGACUUAGAGUCUCCUGAAGGA